AACCCGUGAUUGCUGGGACUGGCUCAAGCUCCACCAGGAGCCGUCGUUCUUUUACAAAGAGGGGUGGAGGUUCCAGUGGAGGCUGUUGUUGCCUUUUUUUUUUUUUUUUUAAUGAAUGGAGGGCGGCGGCGACUGCUGCAGCUGGGCCAGCUGCGCGGGCUGCACCCCCUCCCAGCCUGCGAGAGGAGCUAGUAGAAGAUUUGUACCAACAAAACCAAGGAGUAAACAACUUGAGAAUAACUGCAUGAGCUCAGGGCUUGGACUGUCAGAUUCCAUUUCUAAGCUUCCAGAAGAGCGACACAUAGACACUGGGGAAGUCAGAGCCUUUGAACUCCAAUGCCAUCCCCGUCACCCACCUCCACCACCAGCACCACCACCGAAUGGCACUUUGGACAAUUUUUCCCUCUCAUGUGACUUUUGUCAUUUCUUACGUCAGUUGGAGCCAGCACCUCUCAAAUCCAUCUUCUAAAACCCAGAAAAUUGUGUGUAACACAUGAUGACUGAAAGGGAGUAGGCUGACCAGUUAAGAGCCUGCCACUGGAAUGGAAGGCUGUGGGAAGGUGAGGGGACGGUGGACAUCAACCGGGAAGAGCUGAAAGAUGGCGUUACCAGAUAAGGAAACUGAGUCUCAGGGAGGUCAAGAGACAUGCCAAAGCACAGCUUGGAAGUGGUAAGGUGAAGAACAGAGUGCUGGUGUUCUGCUUCCUGGUUUGUCUCUCUCCCUCUGGUUUAUGUCAUCCAGCCCAUUUCUCCCUGUACCUGGAGAUGCUCCCUAAGCAAACUUUUCUGUGCAGAUGCAGAUUGAAUACAGAUGUUACAAUAGGGUUAGUCCCACAUAGCUGAACUCUUUCUAAAGAAAGACAGAAUCGUUUGCAGAGAAAACCAGAGCUUGUUUCCUAAAAACUUCCCUGGUAGAGGGUGGGUUUUUGUCUUUUUGGCCCAAGACAGAGAUGGUGGAUGAAGCUUCUCCUUCAAAUCUUCAAGAUUUAAAGAAAUUGCUCCGCCUCUUUGCCUGGAGGAAUGCCGUGCUGCUCAAAACACACUUUUGGACACGGCACAUUUUUCUGUCACAGUGGAAAGACCUGACUCCCUCAAAAGGGUGUUUGCAAAAAGCAUCGCGUUCUCAGAAUGACAAAACAGUUUUAAAAGAAAAAAACAUUGUGUCAGCCCUGCAGCUUAUCAAUAUAAAAUGAAGACUAAGAUUCAUUUAUGUGAAUGGAUCAUUUUUUGGGGGAGGGAGUUGUUAAAAAUUCAUAUAUCUUGGCUAAUGGAACCACUUCCAUAUCCACAAUGAAAAAAAUUAAAAAGGAGGCUUAUAAAACCUUUCCUGGAACAACCAGAAAAGGAGUGAGUCCCUGAAAAUACAAAUUGGUGGUGUUAUCUUUGCAUAUUUGCAAAAUUCUUUGAACUUCUGAAUAGUCUGUUGUGGACCUAGUCUGCUGUUACUUUGACACAGGGUCUUGCUCUGUUGCCCAGGAUGCAGUGCAGUGGCGUGAUCCUAGCUCACUAUAGUCUCAAAUUCCUGAGGUCAAGCACUGCUUCCACCUCUGCCUCCCAGGUAGGUAGAAUUACAAGCAUGUCACCACACCUGGCUAAUUUUUUUUUUUUUUCUUUUUGAGUAAGUGUCUCACACUGUUGCCUAGGCUGGAGUGCAGUGGUGUGAUCUUGGCUCACUGCAACCUCUGCCUCCUGGGUUCAAAUGAUUCUCGUGCCUCAGUCUCCCAGUAGCUGGGACUACAGGCGUGCACCACCAUGCCUGGCUAAUUUUGGUAUUUUUAGUAGAGAUGGGGUUUCGCAUGUUGGCACAGGCUGGUCUCGAACUCCUGUGCCUGGCCCUAGUUAUUUUUAUAUUAACAGUAAUGACCAAGCUCUGAGAGGUUCCUUAAUAUUAGUAGCAAAGGUAGGAUUCAAAUGCAGGUCUGGAUGACCCAUAACACAUAUCGUUUUGCACUACUCGGUUUGCCUUAAAUUAGCCCCUUCUUUGGAAUAAAGCACCCUGUUAAGAAGACAAGUUGAAGGCCGGGCGUGGUGGUUCAUGCCUAUAAUCCCAGCACUUUGGGAGGCCGAGGCAGGCAGAUCACGAGGUCAGGAGUUCAAGACCAGCCUGGCCAACAUAGUGAAACCCCGUCUCUACUAAAAAUACAAAAAUUAGCCAGGCAUGGUGGCGCAUGCCUGUAGUCCCAGCUACUUGGGAGGCUGAGGCAGUACAAUAGCUUGAACCUGGGAGACGCAGGUUCUGGUGAGCCGAGAUGGCGCCACUGCACUCCAGCCUAGGCAACAAGAUCAAAACGCCAUUUCAAAAAAAAAAGAAAAAAAAAGGCACCUUGAAUGUCACAUUUGUCCUCUUCAAGGUACUUGCUAUCUAAGGUGGGGGUGGAGAAUCCUUUAUUUUACAGAAACAGUGAUUAGUUCUUAAGCCUUACUUCAUAGAUAAGGAAACUGUGAAUCAAAGAGGUCAAGUGGGGCAGGCGCGGUGGCUCACGCCUGUAAUCCCAGCACUUUGGGAGGCCGAGGCAGGAGGAUCACGAGGUCAGGAGAUUGAGACCGUCCUGGCUAACACGGUGAAACCUCGUCUCUACUAAAAAAUACAAAAAAUUAGCUGGGUGUGGUGGUGGGCACCUGUAGUCCUAAGUAGCUUACUUGGGAGGCUGAGGCAGGAGUAUGGUGUGAACCCGGGAGGCGGAGCUUGCAGUGAGCCGAGAUUGUGCCACUGCACUCCAGCCUGGGUGACGGAGCGAAGACUCUGUCUCAAAAAAAAAAAAAAAAAAAGAGGUCAAGUGAUGUGUUCAAGGUCACAGCUAUGAAGUGACAAGACCUUUUUUUUUUUUGAGAUAGGGUCUUGCUCUGUCACCCAGGCUGGAGUGCAGUAGCGUGAUCCCCGUUCGCUGUAGCCAGCGUCAAGCUCCCAGGCUUAAGCAAUCCUCCCAUCUUAGCCUCCCCAGUAGUUGAGACUACAGGCACUUAUCACUGUGCACCACUAAUUAAAAUUUUUUUUUUUUAUUUAGAGAUGGGGUCUAUCAAUGUUACCCAGGCUGGUCUCAAAUUCUUGGCUUUGUGAUCCUCCCACAUCAGCCUCCCAAAGUGCUGGGAUUACAGGCAUGAACCACCACGCCCGGCCUUCACAUAUUUUACUUACUUCCCACUUCCCUCCUUACCUCCCUUCCCUCUUAAUUUCUGGCUGGUCAGUGAGCCCAGUAGGGCUAUCCUGCUGCAAUCACAUCUGCAGUGACAGCGUUUCCCUGCUUCACACUCUGGGCUCCCUGGUGACUGUCCUGCUAUGUACGAAGUUCAUUGGAGGUGCACACAUUAAGGGUGAAAAAAUGCUGGGACCUCCUAACAUACAGGGGAGGUGGGCUAGUGAGGCCACUCUGUAUUUGGGCUUUAGAGUCACCCAGCCUGGGUGUUAAUCCUGGCCUGUGCCACAUUGGCAGUGUGACCAAAGGUAUGUUAUUUAAUAUAUCUGUGCCUCUGAUUCUGUAUUUGCAAAAUGGGGAUGAGACCAGUACUUACCUCGUAGAGAUGCAGGAAGUUUUAGAAGCAUUAGUUCAUGACAGCCCUGGCACUGAUAAGUGUUAGGGACUAUUAUCCAAAACAAACACAAAACAUUAGGUCCUACCUUGUUAGUUUUAGAGUUAAUUGAUUUAAUUAACUGACAAUAAAAACAACUAAUAAUAACAAUAGCUAACAUGUGCCUGGCAUAGUGCCAAGUACCUUUAAUUAUUAACUUGUUUAAAAAUCUGAAGGUACAAGAGGGAUAUGUCUCCCUCCUACCCUGUAUUAUUUAGGGUUCUACAGAGAAACAGAACCAAUAAGAUAUAGAGAGAGGCUGGGUUUGGUGGCUCACACCUGUAAUCCCAGCACUUUGGGAGGCUGAGACGGGCAGAUCACCUGAGGUCAAGAGUUCGAGAUGAUCCUGGCCAACAUGGUGAAAUCCCAUCUCUACAAAAAUUAGCCGGGCAUGGUGGUGCACAUCUGUAGUCCCAGCUACUCGGGAGGCUGAGGCAGGAGAAUGGCUUGAACCCAGGAGGCAGAGGUUGUAGUGAGCCGAGAUCACACCACUGUGGUUUAGCCUGGGUGACAGAGUGAGACUUUGUCUCAAAAAAAAAAAUAUGCAUAGAAAGAAAUUUAUUAUGAGGGAUUGGUUCAUGACAUGGAAGCGGAGAAGUCCCACAUUCUGCCAUCUGUAAGCCGGAGAAUCAGGAAAGCCGGUGGUGGAGUUCCUUUCCAAGACCAAAGGCUGGAGGAACACAGAGCAAUGGUGUAAGUCCCAGUCUAAGUCUGAAGACCCCAAAACCAGGAGUGCAGAUGUCUAAGGGCAGGAGAAGAUGGAUGUCACAGCUCCAGAAGAGAGAAUUAACUCGUCCUCUGCGUUUUUAUUCCAUGCAGGUCCUCAACAGAUUGGAGGAUGCCAGUCCACCCUAGUGAGGGUGAUCUUUACUCAGUCUACUGAUUCAAAUGCUGAUGUUGGCCCCAGUACAGUGGCUCACACCUGUAAUCCCAGCAAUUUGGGAGGCUGAGGCGGGCGAAUCGCUUGAGCCCAGGAGGUUGAGACCAGCCUGGGCAACAUGGCGAAACCUCAUUUUUACAAAAAAUACAAAAAUUAGCCAGGCGUGCUGGCGCAUGCCUGUAUUCCCAGCUACUCAGGAGGCUGAGGUGGGAGGAUCAGUUGAGGCCGGGAAGUAAAGGCUGCGAUGAGCUGUGAUUGCACCACUGCAUUCCGGCCUGGGUGACAGAGUGAGACCCUGUCUCAAAAAAAAAAAAAAAAAAAAAAAGCUAAUGUUUUCUAGAAACACAGACACACCCAGAAAGUAUUUUGCCAGCUAUCUGGGCAUCCCUUAUCCCAGUCAAAUUGACACAUAAAAUUAACCAUCACGCCCCCAUGGUUUCCUCCAUGGAAGCAGCCAUUAUUACCAAUACUCUGCGUAUCUUUUCAGAUAUCUUCUGUGCAGACGAUUAUUUAAAUAUCUUUCUACCCCUUCAGCUUUAAAUGUAAGGAAACGGGCUCAGAGAAGUCAUAUAGUGAAUUGUAAUAAUAGCUCCUAUUCUGUGUGUGAGGCUCUGCCCUGGGCACUGUGUGAUUUUGAAUCCUGGCUACAACCAUGCAGCAUGAGACUUAUUGUGUAGAAUAGAUGCUCCAGGCCUCAGUUUGCCUCAGUGGGUUGACUGAGGAUUAAAUGAAAUAAUCCAUGUAGAGGGGCUUCUCAGAUCCUGGCACAUCAUAACUGCUGAGUAGGUGAUGACUGCAGGGGAGGGGAGGAUCCGAGGUUUUUUUUUUUUUUUUUUUUUUUGAGACGGAGUCUCGCUGUGUUGCCCAGGCUGAUGCACUUAGAUCCUCGGCCGGGUGCGGUGGCUCAAGCCUGUAAUCCCAGCACUUUGGGAGGCCGAGGCGGGCUUAUCAUGAGGUCAGGAGAUCGAGACCAUCCUGGCUAACACAGUGAAACCCCAUUUCUACUAAAAAUAUAAAAAAUUAGCCGGGCUUGGUGGCGGGAGCCUGUAGUCCCAGCUACUCGAGAGGCUGAGGCAGGAGAAUGGCGUGAACCCUGGAGGCAGAGGUUGCAGUGAGCCGAGAUGACGCCACUGCACUGGGCGACAGAGCGAGACUCCGUCUCAAAAAAAAAAAAAAUACUAGGAAUGUAAGUGAAUAUUUAUUUCAAGUGAGAAACAGAGCUCUAACAAUUUACACAUUUUAUCUUUUUUUUUUCUUUUUAAAAGUUUUUUUUUUUUUUGGCUGGGACCGGUGGCUCAUGCUUGUAAUUCUAGCACUUUGGGAGGCCGAGGCAGGCAGAUCAACUGAGGUCAGGAGUUCAAGAUGAGCCUGGCCAACAUGGUGAGACCCUGCCUCUACUAAAAAUGCAAAACUUAGCCAGGUGUGGUUGUGUACACCUGUAAUUCCAGCUACUUGAGAGGCUGAGGCAGGAGAAUCAUUUGAACCUGGGAGGCGGAGUUUGCCAUGAGCAGAGAUUACACCAUUGCACUCUGGCCUGGGCGACAAGAGACUGUCUCAAAAAACAAAAUUUUUUUUUUUUUCUUUUGUAGAAAUGGAACCUUGCUAUAUUGCCUGGGUUGGUCUCAAACUACUGGGCUCAAGCAUUCCUCCCACCUCAGCUUCCCAAAGUGUCCGGGCCAGUUUACACAUUUUAAAAGCCAACAAAUACCUCAAACACUACACACUCCAGAAGAAUAAUAGGACAUUUUUUCUUAAUUUACUGCCUGACACACUUCUGUAGCACUUUUUAUUCCUAUAUUAUCCAGCUUCAUACUCUUUGAUCACUUCUUCAUAUGAUAAUGAUUUUCUAAAAUAAUUUUCUGUAGAGCGAAUAAAAGAUAAUUCAGUCUUUUCUCUAGCAUGGGUGAUCAAAAUUUGCUUUUAGUUAUUGAUAGUCUAGACGCAAAAAAUAAAGACAUUCAUAGACACAAACACUGUCUGUAGUAUUACUACGUGUUUGUGUCUCUCAGAGGAAUUUUAGUAAAUUCAGUUUUGUGUUAUUCCCACCAAAAAUGAAAAAAGAAUCUAAGGUGGGCCAGGCGUGGUGGCUCACGCUUGUAAUCCCAGCACUUUGGGAGGCUGAGGCAGGUGGAUCAUGAGGUCAGGAGAUCGAGACCAUCCUGGCUAACACGGUGAAACCCCGUCUCUACUAAAAAUACAAAAAAUUAGCCGGGCGUGGUGGUAGGCACCUAUAGUCCCAGCUACUCAGGAGGCUGAGGCAGGAGAAUGGCGUGAACCCGGGAGGCGGAGGUUGCAGUGAGCCGAGAUCGUGCCACUGCACUCCAGCCUGGGCGACGGUGCGAGAGUCUGUCUCAAAAAAAAAAAAAAAAGAAUAUGAGGUGCAUUACAAUUAAAUGCACGUGUUAAUAGAGUGUAUUUCUUUUUUAUUGUUAUUAUUUAUUGAGGCAGAGUCAGGCUGGUCUUGCACUCCUGACCCCAAGUAUUCCAUCCACCUCGGCUUCCCAAAGUGCUGGGAUGACAGGUGUGAGCCACCAAGCCUGGCCUAGUGGAGUAUAUUUCUGACAGACGAGAACUUCCAUUUUGAUUGACUCUUCACCUAUUUUUCAUGUCUAAUAACGGGAAGCAUUUUUCACAGGCGAGCAUCUAACUAUAUACAUUUUAAACCUUCCUUCUUCCCCACCACAUCCUUCAGGAUUGGGCCCUGUAGGAUGUGUUCAUAUGGUGAUACAACUUCUGAUGAGGUGUCAGGACCUUGGUGGGGGGUACUUGCUACUGGAGUUUUACUGGGAGCUGUUCCUACCCUGGGAGGGUUAGCAAUACUCAGCUUAAUGAUCUGCUAAACUCAAUGUACCAGCGACUCAACUCCCAUGUGCGUGCAUCCCUGAAUGCCCGUGGCCACUCUUAACGUCACACAACAGGAAGGGAGAAGGGGCAGAAGGGAGACUGGAGUGGAGAGAGAUGGAGGUCUUUCCACUUGUGGUUAAAAGACUUGAUGCUGGCAAAUGUUAGAGAAACCAAAGACCAUCCGAUGGAUGCUUUUCUUUCCGGGCCCUUUGCAAGACCUUGGAAGGGGCUGAUCCAAGCAGGGAUCCUGAAGCUUCAGCUGUGUUAGCCUCACGGUGGACCUGGUUAGUUAUCACUUAUAUUCAUGGUUCAGGGCAGUGUCAUUUGAGAGCGAGCCGUGGAGCCCACUCAGGAGCUGCAGGCCUCGCUGGCAUGUUAACAUGCUCCAUAAACCUUGGUUCCUCAGCAGGAAGCAUGACACUAUUAAUAGUCUCCACCUCACUGGGAAUAUAAAGUCCACGAGGGCAGGCACUGGUCUGCUUAUUGCUGUGUCCUUGGUGUAUAGAACCCAUGGGCCGCACUGAACAUAUGGUAUGCUAGGUGUUGGGUGGCUACCCCCAAACUCUCAGAGAAAAGGAAACUGAGGCACAAUGAGCUUACAUACCUUCACUUGAAGCCAGACGUGUCCAGCUCCAAAUUCCUUUUCCUGUACAACAUGCUGCCCCUAGUCAACUGGAUGGAGAUCCGGGGUCUCGGCCUCCUUUCCUUCCUGCAUAUUCUCCCAUGCAAACUGAACAAGCAGGGGAAACUUAGCCCACCUCUGAGUUCCUGAGAUCAUCAUCUGAGUUAUUCUCUCCCUUAUGGAUCUGAGAAGGAGUCCCUGGGAUUUGUUCUGAUCCAUGGAAUACAUUGUUCUAGAGACUCUUUGGACUCCAACCUGAGUCCCUGGGAAUGAUGUGAGGUAGGAGAUGUGGAAGAACAAAAAUGAAUGGUUUUGAGCCAUAAAAUAGUGAGCCUGAAAAACGAGUUUGGAAGAUGAAUGGCUUUGGGGCUUCUGGAACUUAGCAGGGGCUAUCCUGGGAAUUACUGACAUUUCUGCCUCAGACCUCUGGGAGGCCACUGGUAAACCAGAGGCCACCCCCCUCCCUUCACAGGUCCAUUGGAUUCGAAGGGGUCCUCACACGAAGCAGGAAGUCACCCUGUAUCUCAGAACUGUGGAGAUCUCAGUCCGUGGUCAUCUUGUCAUACAUGACAUGGCAGGAGCCAUGGUCCAGGGAACCAGGUGGCUGCCAACUUGCAGAACAGGCGACAAAACCCCAGCCUGGACCCCCAGACCAUGCACUUCUCCCUUUGCCCUGCUUCUCCUCUGCCUGGUACAGGUUUCCAGCCAAGCUCUGCACCGGCUUCUAUGUCUGUUUGUUUUCCUUAGAAGCUUCCUAUAGAAAGCACCAGGUAAGGCUGAAGAUGCUCACUUCCCCCUGUUGUUUAACAACGCAACUGGGAUUUUGCAGCCUCUGCUUCCAGCCUAAUUCUCCAUUGAGCCCUGGGAUAAUAUUUACACACAAAUGCUGGCUCUAAUCUCCACCCAGGAAAACACUAGCUGCUAUUGAAAAUCUUUUCACCCGUGAUAGAAAGCAGAGCGGCCAGGCCUCACGCAGGCACCCUCGAGCUUCUCUGGAGAGUGUUAGGGAACAGCAAGUGUGUUUUAUUUAUAUUUUUUUAAAGUCAUCCCAGGGCUGUGUCCAGGCAACUGAGGGCCUGUCAAAGAACCGAAUGUCUAAUUCCCUUUAGAAAAAACAAAGGGAUUAGGUGUCCCUGGGACUUUAACAAAUGCAUUGUUGGUGGUUUUGAUUUAGGUUUCAUUUAGGGAAGGCAAGUGCAGAAACGAGGAUGCCAAAGAUCCAGGCUACCAGUGUUGCGAAGAUGCCUGGAGACAGGCAUGCAUAAAAUGUUGGCGGGGAUGUAAAUUAGUGCAGCCUUUUGGAGGGAAAUUUGGCAACAUCUUUCAUAAAAAAUGAGCGUGACCUUUGAUGCAGUAAUUUCAUGCUUUGUAAACUACACUACGUUAAUAGUUGCACGUGUAUACAAAAACCUAUGUUAAAAAAUGCUCACUGCAGUGACAAAUAGGAAAUCACCAUGAAUCUAUCAGUAGGGGCCUGGUUUGAUAAAUUAUAUUUUAUCCACAGAGUGGACUACUACAUGGCCAGUAAAGAAAAGAACAAGGUGGGGCCGUGUGCGGUGGCUCAAGCCUGUAAUCCCAGCCCUUUGGGAGGCCGAGACGGCGGAUCACGAGAUCAGGAGAUGGAGACCAUCUUGGCUAACAUGGUGAAACCCCAUCUCUACUGAAAAUACAAAUUAGCCGGGUGUGGUGGCGGGCGCCUGUAGUCCCAGCUACUCGGGAGGCUGAGGCAGGAGAAGCGUGAACCCAGGAGGCGGAGGUUGCAGUGAGCCAAGAUGACACCACUGCACUCCAGCCUGGGUGACAGAGCGAGACUCCGUCUCAAAAAAAAAAAAAAAAAGAACAAGGUAGAUUAUAACAAUGGCCAACAUACAUAUAGCACUUACUGUGUACACACUAGUCUGAAAGUUCUAUGUAUUUUAGAAUAUCUGCACAUUUAUAAUAUUAACUCAUUUGAUUUUCUCAACAAUUAUCUGGUUACUAUUACUAGAAUUUUUUUAAAUCAGGAAAGAGAUGUUAAGUAACUUGUCUAAAGUCACAUAGCUGGCGAGUCGGGGAGCUGGGCUUCAAGUCAUCUGGCCUCAGGGUCUGGGUCAAUAACCACUACCCAAAUGCCUGUAUGUACAGGCAUGGAAAGAUGCUUUUGACAUAUGAUUAAGUGGAAAAUUCAAGUAGCAGAGAAGUAGGAGCUUAUCUUUUUCAGGUAAAAAGAAGCUGCAUGUGUGCAUGCCUACGUGAAUAUAUUUUAUAUAUUUGUAAUAGUAAAGGUUCUGGAAAAAUACGUGUUCAAUCAGCAAUUCUCAACCAGGAAGGGAGGUGAGAUGGGCUACAUAAAGAGGAUUUUGGCUGGGGGCAGUGGCUCAUGCCUGUAAUCCCAAUACUUUGGUAGGCCGAGGCAGGCUUGAGCCCAGGAGUUCCAGACCAGCCUGGGCAACAUAUUAAGACCCCAUCUAUAAAAGAAAAAAAUUUUUGGCUGGGCGCAGUGCCUCACACCUGUAAUCCCAGCACUUUGGGAGGCCGAGGCGGGCAGAUCAUGAGGUCAGGAGAUCGAGACCAUCCUGGCUAACACGGUGAAACCCUGUCUCUACUAAAAAUACAAAAAAUUAGCCAGGCUUGGUGGUGGGCACUUGUAGUCCCAGCUACUCGGGAGGCUGAGGCAGGACAAUGGCGUGAACCCGGGAGGCGGAGCUUGCAGUGAGCUGAGCUUGUGCCACUGCACUCCAGUCUGGGUGACAGAGCGAGACUCCAUCUCAAAAAAAAAAAUAAUAAUAAUAAAUAAUAAAUAAAAUAAGUGCAGUGGCACAAUCUUGGCUCGCUGCAACCUCCAUCUCUGGGGCUCAAGCAAUCCUCUCAUCCCAGUCUCCUGAAUAACUGGGACUGCAGGUGCAAGCCACCACCCCUAGCUAGUUUUCAUAUUUUUGGUAGAGACGGGCUUUUGCCAUGUUGCUCAGGCUGGCCUCGAACUCCUGGGCUCAAAGUGAUCUACCUGCCUCAGCCUACCAAAAUGCUGGGAUUACAGGUGUGGGCUACUGCUUCCCGCCAAAUUUCUUUUUUUUUUUUUUUGAGAUGGAGUCUCGCUGUGUCACCAGGCUGCAGUGGUGUGAUCUUGACUCACCAAAACGUCCGCCUCCGAGGUUUAAGCGAUUCUCCUGCCUCAGCCUCUCAAGUAGCUGGGAUUACAGGCAUGCGCCACCACACCCUGCUAAUUUUGUAUUUUUAGUAGGGACGGGGUUUCACCAUGUUGGUCAGGCUGGUCUCGAACUUCUGACCUCAUGUGAUCUGCCCGCCUUGGCCUCCCAAAGUGCUGGGAUUACAGGGGUGAGCAAUCAUGCCCAACCAUUUGGUUUUCUUUUCUAAAUGGUCCUUUCAAAAGAAGACUUCCUGUUAAUCGUGGGCUCAGAGUGACACUUUUGAUUAACACCAAAGUAAGAGAUGUGGAGCCAAGCCUAAUAAGUCUUGCAAUAAAUUGGAUGAAGGUAGACCAAUUAAUUGUUGUUCUGAUUGGCUGAAGGGAUCCUGAGAUAAUGACUCUUGUCCUCAUUACCCUCUAGUCUUGCCUUCUCCUGGAAGCUUUGGCCCAGAUGUUGGAAGAGUAAUGUUGAUUUUCUUGACAUACAGCCCCUCCACAUUCCAUCUUCACUCCCAUGCCCCCCUGCAUUUAAUGUGUUCAUUUAAUGCAUUAUUGCACCUCAUGUAAAUACCCCUGGUACUUUACUUGGGCUGUUGUUUAAACCACUGUCCCUUCAGGGUCAUCCAGUAAAAACCGGACUCAGGCUGCCUUCCAUUUGCAGGCACUUUACAAUCUCCUAAUCUUGUUCCCAUUCAUUAUUUUGGUUAACGGGGUGGAGCCUUGUCACUUUAAUGCAGGUUGUGCAAUAUCUCUUUCAAAGUAAAACUAAGCAGGGUCUUAGGAGAGGGUCUGAUGAGGACAAUGAGGGUUAUCAAAAUUUUAAUCCCCAUUUUUAAACCCCAGUGUUUAAACCUUGCUUUGUGAAGUGUAACCUAUCACAGUGAAUAUAGAAAAAUGACAUAACAGCUUCUACUUACUGUGUCAGGUCAAAAAGCACCCAAAGUUUCCAUGUGUUUUCUCAGUUUUGUUCUUGCAGCAAGUUUAGGGGGUACUUUUUUUUUAAAUCUCCCAUUAUCUCCAUAAGGAAGCCGAGGCUCCAGGAGACUAGGUAAUGUCCUCAACAAUACACGUGUGGAAAGUGGAAAAUGGAUUUCUCAACCAGGUUUGUGUAUCUGUCUGCAAUUCCCAGUGCUGAGCCUCUCAAUGGAUGAAAUAAUUGAGAAAAGAAAAAAAGUGUAACUCAAAAACCACCCCCCUAAUAGAUAGUAGUACUCAUAUACCAUCUCCCUAACAUACUGUUAGCAAUUUAGGUUUAUUUCCUUUGUGUUAUGUAUCUAAACAAAAUGAAAUUUAAAAAAACAACUUGGUAACUAGAGGAUAUGUAAAAUGUUUAUAUCCUGUUUUGAUUUUUUUUUGUCCUACUAACAUUGUCAUCGUAACCAUCUUCCUUAUUGCUUCGUGUCAUCAUUUUAAAUGGUUGCACUCUAUUUAGAGAGUGGUGGCCUUGGGGGAGAGAUUCCUAGAUGUGGAAAUUGGUAGGUCCAAGAGUAUAAAUGUUUUUAUGGUUUUUGAUACACAUUGCUAAAUUGCUUUCUAAAAGAUCUAUUUUAAUUUGCACUUCAAUCAACAAUUUUGAGAGUGUCAUUUUCAUCACAUUCUUGCUGGCAUUAGUUAUUGUUAGAAAACGAAACCAAGGCCGGGUGUGGUGGCUCACGCCCGUAAUCCCAGCACUUUGGGAGGCCAAGGUAGGUGGAUCACGAGGUCUCAAGAUCGAGACCAUCCUGGCCAACAUGGUGAAACCCCGUCUGUACUAAAAAUACAAAGAAAAUUAGCCAGGCGUGGUGGUGUGCCUGUAGUCCCAGCUCCUCGGGAGGCUGAGGCAGGAGGAUGGGUUAAACCCGGGAGGCAUAAAUUGCAGUGAGCUGAGAUGGCGCCACCACACUCCAGCCUGGGCGACAGAGCAAGACUCCGUCUUAAAAAAAAAAGAAAAAGAAAACAAGGCCAGGCAUGGUGGCUCUGGCCUGUAAUCUCAGCUCUUUGGGAAGCCAAGGUGGGUAGAUCACUUGAGCUCAGCAGUUCGAGACCAGCCUGGGCAACAUGGUAAAACCCUGUCUCUACAAAAAAAUACAAAAAUUAGCCAGACAUGGUGGCACGUGCUUAUAGGCCCAAUUACUCUGGAGGGCUGAGGUGAGAGGAUCAUUUGAGCCUGGGAGGUGGAGACUGCAGUGAGCCACGAUCACACCACUGCACUCCAGCCUGGGCAACAGAGCAAGACCAUGUCUCAAAAAGAAAAUGAAAACAAGAAAAAGUCCUAAUAUCUACCAAAUUGUUCACAGUAGUUAGUGUCGAGAGUGGGCUGGGGCUGGUGAAGUGAGGAGGUGUCUAUUUUCUUUUCUUUUCUUUUUUUUUUUUUUUUUUUUUGAGACAGAGUCUUACUCUGUCACCCGGGCUGGAGUGCAGUGGCAUGAUCUCCGCUCACUGCACCCUCCACCUCCAAGGUUCAAGUGAUUCUCCUGCCUCAGCCUCCCGAGUAUGUGGGAUUACAGGUGCGUGCUACCACGCCCAGCUAAUUUUUGUAUUUUUUUAGUAGAGACAGGGUUUCACCAUGUUGGCCAGGAUGGUCUGGAUCUCCUGACCUCGUGAUAUGCCCGCCUUGGCCUCCCAAAGUGCUGGGAUUAUAGGUGUGAGCCACCGUGCCCAGCCAGGUGUCUAUUUUCUCCUGUAUCUAAUGUGGUAUUAUUAAAAAUAUUUUAUUAUAGGCACAUAUUACUUUUGUGUUUUUUAUAUAUAUACGUAUAUAUAUACACUUUUUUUUUUUUUUUGAGACGGAGUCUCGCUCUGUCGCCCAGGCUGGAGUGCAGUGGCGCCAUCUCGGCUCACUGCAAGCUCCGCCUCCUGGGUUCACGCCAUUCUCCUGCCUCAGCCUCCUGAGUAGCUGGGACUACAGGCGCCUGCCACCACGCCCGGCUAAUUUUUUGUAUUUUUAGUAGAGAUGGGGUUUCACCAUGUUAGCCAGGAUGGUCUCGAUCUCCUGACCUCGUGAUCCACCCGUCUCGGCCUCCCAAAGUGCUGGGAUUACAGGCAUGAGACACCGUGCCCGGCCUGUCAUAUAUAUUUUAAACUUUAUUUUGAAAUAAUUUGUCUCAUAGAAAAGUUGCAAAAAUAAUGCAAAGAAUUCCCUGUAUACCCUUUGUAACACAUAUUUUUUUGUUUUGUUUUGUUUGUUUGUUGAGAUGGAGUCUUGCUCUGUCACCAGGCUGGAGUACAGCGGCGCCAUCUCGGCUCACUGCAACCUCUGCCUCCUGGGUUCAAGUGAUCCUCCUGCCUCACCCUCCCAAGUAGCUGGGACUACAUGCCCGCGCCACCAUGCCUAGCUAAUUUUUUGUAUUUUUAGUAGAGACGGGGUUUCACCAUGUUGGCCAGGAUGGUCUUGAUCUCUUGACCUCGUGAUCUGUCCACUUCAGCCUCCCAAAGUGCUGGGAUUACAGGAGUGAGCCACCGCACCCAGGCUGUGAUACAUAUGUUUUUUUGAGAUGGAGUCUCGCUCUGUCGCCCAGGCUGGAGUGCAGUGGCGCAAUCUCUGCUCACUGCAAGCUCCACCUCCCGGGUUCACGCCAUUCUCGUCCCUCAGCCUCUGGAGUAGCUGGGACUACAAGUGCCCACCACCACGCCCAGCUAAUUUUUUGUAUUUUUAGUAGAGACAGGGUUUCACCGUGUUAGCCAGGAUGGUCUCGAUUUCCUGACCUCGUGAUCCACCCGCCUCGCCUCCCAAAGUGCUGGGAUUACAGGCGUGAGCCACCAUGCCCAGCCACUUAUUUUUAAAUAUAAAGUAAUUAAAAUAAAUGUUUUCUAAAUGUCAGUCCUUACAUCAACUUGUAAGUUGAGAUUUCUUCAUAGGUAGGCUAGGGCUCAACAGCAACUUGGGGAAAUGCUUAUUAAAAAUGUAAACUCUUAGGCCUGAGCAAGACAUCGAAUCAGAAUGUUUGGGGGUGAGCUUGGAAAAUCUUUCAGUAGCCCUUCUCCUGCCCUCUGAGGCCCAUCAGGGGCUGAGAACCAGUGUCAGACAGGUUCCUCUUUAUUUCCUCCAGCAAUAUUGUGGCUUCUUCACCUUGAGAGCCCUCCAGUGUGCAAGGGUUUGGAAAAGUGAGUGAAAUCUGAGCAUCUUUGUUGUGACUUUUCCCACUUGGUGCUGCUACUGCUCUGCUCCAGCCAAGCUGUCUGUAAUUUGUUUUCACAAGAGCCUGCUCUCUCCCUCAAACUAGAAAAGACCCCUCCACAGGAGGCCAGGUCCGGAACGCAGGUUUAGGUGGUGUAGGCCCUUCUCACCCUCACCCCUUCUGUCCUGAGUGUUCCAGGUGGAUGCCAAGGAGGUGGAGGAGGCUUCCCUGUCUCCUGGCUCUCCUGGAGGAGCAACUGUGAGGCCCCGAGAUGGGGAGGGAGCCCAGAUUCUGGCUUUUGGUCUUCCUGCUGUUUCUUUUGUCUGAUGCUGGUGCAUUUCCAUGGACAGUUUAUUUCCCUUGGACACUGUGGGCUUGGUUUUUCCAUGAGUGUGUGACGCUGUGGUCAUUCACCAGGCCCUGUUGGUGGUCUCGGUGGGGGCCACAAGGCUCAGAUCUCACCUGCCCCUUUUCCUACCUCCUCCACUCUUUGCUCAGCCAUCAACAUUCCUUUCUGUCCCAGAAGUGUUCUUUCCAAAAUGCAGAUCUGCCCAUGUCCCCUAAUGACGUCACUUAUUGACUUCGCUAUGGAAAAGGAGCGAUGGGGAAUGUGGCCGGAAGGACAGCAGAGAGCCAGACUGUGGAGACCUUUGAAUUCCAGAGGAACAAAAGUAUUUUGGGUGGCUCACACCUGUAAUCCCAGCACUUUGGGAGACCAAGGCGGGCAGAUCACCUGAGGUCAGGAGCUUGAGACCAGCCUGACCAACAUGGUAGAACCCCAUCUCUAUUAAAAAUACAAAAUUAGCCAGGCAGGGUGGGGGGUGCCUAUAAUCCCAGCUGCUUGGAGGCUGAGGCAGGAGAAUCGCUUGAACCCGGGAGGCAGAGGUUGCAGUGAGCCAAGAUUGCACCAGUGCACUCCAGCCUGGGCAACAGAGUGAGACUUGGUCUCAAAAAAAAAAAAAAAAAAAAAAAGACCGGGCGCAGUGGUGGCUCACGCCUGUAAUCCCAGCACUUUGGGAGGCCGAGGCAGGCGGAUCACGAGGUCAGGAGAUCAAGACCAUCCUGGCUAACACGGUGAAACCCCGGCUCUACUAAAAAUACAAAAAAUUAGCUGGGCGUGGUGGCGGGUGCCUGUAGUCCCAGCUACUUGGGAGGCUGAGGCAGGAGAAUGGUGUGAACCCGGAAGGCAGAGGUUGCAGUGAGUCCACAUCAUGCCACAGCACUCCAGCCUGGGCGACAGAGCAAGACUCCGUCUCAAAAAAAAAAAGUGUCUUAUAUAAAAAUAUAUACAUAAAAUAUAAAAAUAGGCGGGGCACAGUGUCUCACACCUGUAAUCCUAGCACUUUGGGAGGCCAAGGCGGGCAGAUUGCCUGAGCUCAGGAGUUUGAGACCAGCCUGGGCAACACAAUGAAACCCCAUCUCUACUAAAAUACGAAAAAUCAUCCGGGCAUGGCGGCGGGCGCCUGUAGUCCCAGCUACUCAGGAGGCUGAGGCAGGAGAAUCGCUUGAACCUGGGAGGCAGAAGUUGCAGUGAGCCGAGAUCGCGCUACUGCACUCCAGCUUGGGUGACAGGGCGAGACUCCGUCUCCAAAAAAAAAAAUAUGUAUACACACACACACACACACACACACAAUAUACAAAAAAUAUACUGUUUUAUGUAUAAACAUACAUAAAAUAUACAUAUACAUGAAAACAUACAUAUCAAUAUACAUAAGUAUAUUAUGGACUAAUACAGGCAAUUUGGAAAAAAAGAAAGUAGAAAGUAGGGGGAAAAAAGUUGCUAGUCGUUCUGCUAGCCAAGUAAAGCUGCUGGCUGCAUUUGGGUGUGGUCGUGUGCAGGAUAAGGGCACAGGCCCUGAAUCAGGUGAGUCUGGGUUCAGAUGCCUUCCUUCUUCCUUAUUAGCUGUAGGCAACCAUCGGGCAGCUUAAUUAUCCUCUGGGUGCUUCAGUUUUCUCAUUGGUGAAGUAAGGAUAAAAAAAAGUUCCUAAUGUGUAGGCUUGCCUUGAAGAUGAAAUGAGGUAAGUAUGGAAAGCAGUUAGCUGGCUGCUUCCUAAGUGUUAGUUCUGUUUAAUCUUGUUCAUUUCCUUUCAGUCCUUUUACUCUAAAGAGGGGUGUGUGUGUUUGGUUUGUUUUCACAUAGUUGUGAUCACAUUGUCUAUAUAAUUUUAUUUACUGCUUGCUUAGCAUAACAUCUGUAGCCAAGCAUUUUCCAUGUUAUUUUCAACUCCUCAUAAACAUGCAUCUUAAUAGUUGCAUAAUAAUCCGAUGGAUGGAUAUAUCAUAGUUUAACCAUUUCCUUAUUGUUGGCCAUAGGAAUUGUUCCAGGUUUUCAUUGUUACAGAAAACUCAAGGCAUGACUGGGCAUGGUGGCUCACGCCUGUAGUCCCAGCGCUUUGGGAGGCCAAGGCGGGUAGAUCACUUGAGUAGAUCAGGAGUUUGAGACCAGCCUGGUAAACAUGGCAAAACCCUGCCCCGUCUCUACUAAAAAUACAAAAAUUAGCCAGGCCUGGUUGCAGGUGCCUGUAAUCCCAGCUACACAGGAGGCUGAGACAGGAGAAUCGCUUGGACCUGGGAAGCGGAGGUUGCAGUGAACCAAGAUCAAGCCACUGCACUCCAGCCUGGGCGACAGAGUGAAACUCCAUCUCAAAAAAAGAAAACUAUAGGCAUGAACACCUUUAUGUGUCAGAUAUCACCAGCAAAACCAGCCCCACUUUUCCCAGCCUGUUAGAACAAGUUCCUUGAGAAAAAUUCUUAGAAAGGAUGUUACAAAGUCAAAUUAUAUGAAUAUUUAUCAAGAUUUGUGACUUAUCCUGCCAAAUUCAUUCCUGUAAAGUGAGUUCCCACUUCUAUUUCCAAGACAGUGGAUGAGACUGUGGCUGAGGGAUGUGGAUUUUGUUCUGCAGUGCUGCUGGUGAGGGCAUGAGACCAGGGUUUUGAUGGAUUCAUCCAGCAGCCAUUGGGUGGGUGGCUGGGCAGAGUCGGCGUUAGGAGGCUCUCAGCGGUGACUUAACUAUCUGCAAACCUGGCCCCAUCCCCAUGAUGACUAGAGCUCCCAUCCGUAGGAGAGGGAGGCCCUGUGGUCACAGUGUCACAUUCCUUUUCAGUCCAGCAUAAGCACUUUCACAUUGUUUUUUCCCUCCGUGAUUCAAAUGACAAGAACUCUUCAUCUUUAGGGAUCACAGUAUAAGACAGUGAAUAAGUUCAUGAGCCUUGGUGUUAUCCUGCCUGGAUUGGGAUCUCAACUCUACUAUUUAUUAGCUGUGUGAUUCUGGACCUCAGUUUCUCAAUCUGAGACAUGGUACUCACCUCCUAGGAUUAAAUUAAACAGGUAUUUUAUACACAACAUAAUAAGUGCUGAAUGCUUCUUAGAUCUUCUUAUCUAUCUCCCUCUUUCUAAAUGAAAGCGCCUGGUUGAAAGAAACUAAUUGAACCUCUGUAUUCACCACUUUCCUCCUCUUGAAAAUGCAACAAGGGAAGCUGUAUAAAGAAACAAUACUGGGCCAGGCGCGGUGGCUCACGCCUGUAAUCCCAGCAUUUUGGGAGGCCAAGGCGGGUGGAUCACCUGAGGUCAGGAGUUCAAGACCAGCCUGACCAACAUGGCAAAACCUCAUCUCUACUAAAAAUACAAAAUUAGCCAGGGGUGGUGGCACAUGCCUGUAAUCCCAGCUACUGGGGAAGCUGAAGCAGGAGAAUUGCUUGAACCCAGGAGGCAGAAGUUGCAGUGAGCCGAGAUCGCGUCAUCGCAUUCCAGCCUGGGCAACAAAGAGCGAAACUCCAUCUCAAAAAAAAAAAAAAAAGGAAAAAGAAACAAUACCAGAAAGCCCAUCUCUACAUUGCUAGGCAACCUUUCCAAGGUGUGUACCCACCCUGAAACCAUGGGGAUGAAGGGAAGGAGGUUGGGAGGCUACAGUGGUGCAUGACCAAUCAUCUCGGGACAUGGUACUGUCAGUGCUAAGACUGGGACAGUCCCUGGCAAACCAGGAGUGUUAGUCACCCUGGCAUGGUGAGAGUGGGUGAAGGAUCUGGUAAAGUUGUCCAAGGGUGGGAGAACAAGACUCUGGAGCAUUUGAGAAGGGUUUGCUUUUCCUUUAAUUAUUGUUUGGCAAAUCCCCUUGAAGCUCAUUUCACCUGCAACUUCUGGGAAUGAAUUGGCUGCCAAAAAUAAGACCCACGUGGGGUGGGGGCAGGGGGGUAAUUAAGUGCCUCCCAGGAAGCAGGGGCAAGGAUACUUCAAUAUCUUCCAGAUUCCUAGAGUGUGAAUGAUGUGAGCUUGCCUUGGGGUGAAGGCUGCUGGAGUCAGCUCUUUCCGAUCCUGGCUAGUUUUCUGCUCCUAAUAAAGGCUUCUUUCAUGGCUGGGCAAGAGGAAGACUCAGAUGGCCCUCCGUGGACAAGGGUUGGUUCCCGAAUCUGUCCCAGGUAACUUCUUGUUCCUCUGGGUCUCUGUGUGUAAUAUCCCCAGAGACAGAGGCCAAGAGAGGGGAAAGUGACUACACUUACACUGCAGGCCAGCGGAGGGGGUGGUCAAUAGCUGGUACUUCCUCUUCCAGCUCUUUUAAAGCAUUUUAAAAUUGGAUUAGUGUUUCAACAAACACUUGAAGGUUUGCUUUCCUCGGAGAGGCCCGAAGGGCUGAGGAAGAGCCUUCAUCUGUUUACUUUUUCUUUAUGUGGAAAUCUACUUGGGCUGUUUCUACAACUAGCUUGCCCCUCUCCCUUGGUGCCCCCUCCACCAGGUAAACCUCACCCCCUAACUUCCAGGCAGGUCUGCAUUCACCCUCAGGGCCCUGGCCCACCAUGGCUUUCUGGGUUGGCUGAAUCCUCGUGCCCUCCAGGAGCACUUUGGAGCAGCAGGGCUCAGGCAGCUCUCUCUGACCUGUGCCAGCCUUGAAAGUUUUCCUGGAAUGAAGAAGUGAGCUGACAGUGGACAGUCCUGUGUACUUCAUCUGCUUCUUGCAGGGAAACCAACAGAAGCGGUCUCUUUCCUCCUGUGGGUAGAGAAAGCCAGGAAGAUGGGGCAAAGCCUUGGGAAAACAGGUGGCUCUCAGCCCCACCAGAGCUCUUUGUCCUCAUCCUUUUUAUUUAAGCCCCUGCUUGGAGCCAGGCAGUGUGUGUGUGUGAGAGAGUUGUGCAAACAGAUAUGUGCAUGGAUGUAUGUACAGAGGAAAAAAAGACUGGGGCAGGGCAUUGUGGAGCUCUGAAAGGGAAGGAGGGCAGGCGGUCAAAGUAGACUUCUAUGUUUUAUUCUGUGUAUUAGUAUAUUAUAUAUGAACACAUUUAAAGUACAUAUUGAAUAAUAAGAGAAUUAUCCUCUGAGAUCCAUGUGAUCACUGUUAACUGAAGUACAGGGUCAAGCCUUGGAAGAUUCAGGAAUGACUUCCCAGAGGAGGUGGCGGGCAAACAGAGAUCACAGGAUAAGUGGAGGUAGCUGGAUUCAUUUUAUAGACAUUUGUUGAGUGUCUGUUGUGUGUCAGAUACUAUUUUUUUUUUUAUUUUUUUUGAGAUGGAGUCUCGCUCUGUCUCCCAGGCUGGAGUGCAGUGGCAUGAUCUUGGCUCACUGCAACUGCCGCCUCCCGGGUUCAACUGAGGCAGGAGUGCCUCAGCCUCCCGAGUAGCUGGAACUACAGGUGUGUACCACCACGCCCAGCUAAUUUUUGUAUUUUUAGUAGAGACGGGGUUUCACUGUACUGGUCAGACUGGUCUUGAACUGACCUUGUGAUCUGCCUGCCUCGGCCUCCCAAAGUGCUGGGAUUACAGGCGUGAGCCACUAUGCCCAGCCCCAGAUACUAUUUUAGAAGCAAAGGAUCUAGCAGAGAAUAAACACAUAAAGAUCUUGCCAUUGUGGAACUUACAGUCCAGUGGAGGGAGAAAGAUGAACAAAAAGAUCAUAUGAUGUCAGGUGGUAUUAAAGAAGAAUUAACACUUAUGGUAAGGAAGACUUUAUUCAAGACUAUUGCAACAGGAGUUGACUUUUUUUCUUUUUUUUUUCUUUGAGAUGGAGUCUCUGUCACCCAGGCUGGAGUGCAGUGGUGCGAUCUCGGCUCACUGCACCCUCUGCCUCCCAGGUUCAACCGAUUCUCCUGCCUCAGCCUCCUGAGUUGCUGGGAUUACAGGCACAUACCACCACACCUGGCUAAUUUUUGUAUUUUUAGUAGAGAUAGGGUUUCACCAUGGUGGUCAGGCUGGUCUUGAACUCCUGACUGACCUCAGGUCAUCCACCCUCCUCAUCCUCCCAAAGUGCUGAGAUUACAGGCAUGAGCCAUUGCACCCGGCCUAGGAGUUAACUUUUGCAAUAGAGGAAGGAGGUUGAGUUCAUCACUGAAUCCAGCAAAGACCUAGUUGGGCAUUUAUAAUCAGAGUGAGGGGGUCAUUGGGUGGAAAAUCACUAAGAGAAGACACGAAGGGUAGGGGAACUCUUGCUAAACCAACUCAACAGGAUUCUGUGGAAGGCAGGCCAAGGACUUACACAUUAAAAGUGGGGGAUGAGGAACUUGGUCAGAUAUUGAGGGUGGGGGAAUGACUCAGCUGAAUUAUUUGCUAAAGGCAGGCCACAUGAAGAAGAGGAUCUAGAGGAGCCUGUCUAAAGUUUGGUCAAGGAGAGAGUCUUUGUUGGUGCUGUGAAGCAAAUGAAGCAGCUGUGGGAUAGUGAGGCUACAGAGUGACAGGUUAGGCCCUUUUUUUGUUUUUGAGAUGGGUGUCUUCUUCUGUUGCCUGAGCUGUGGUGCAAUGGCUUGAUCAUAGCUCACUGCAGCCUCGAACUCCUGGGCCCAAGCAAUCCUCCUGCUUCAGCCUCCUUACUAGCAGGGACAACAGGCACCUGUCAUUGUGUUUGGCUCAUAGGGGUGCUUUUUAAAUUUAAUUUAGUUUUAUUUUUGAGGUGAAGUGUUCACUGUGUAGCGACACGAUCUCGGCCCACUGCAAUCUCCGUCUCCCAGGUUCAAUCAAUUCUCCUGCCUCAGCAUUCUGAGUAGCUGGGAUUACAGCCGUCCUCCACCACGCCUCACUAAUUUUUGUAUUUUUAAUAGAGACAGGGUUUCACUAUGUUGGCCAGGCUGGUCUUGAACUCCUGACCUCAAGUGAUCCACCCGCCUUGGCCUCCCAAAGUGUUGGGAUUACAGGCGUGAGCCACCGCACCCGGCCUGCAGUGCUUUUUAAUACUCAGUGUUAGCAAGGUCUUUAGGGCUGAAAUCUGGAUCAUGUGUCAGAGCCAGACUUUCAAAUGGCCCCCCUAGAGGGUGUGUUCUGGGUAAAGGAAACAGCCUGUACAAAGGCCCUGAGGGGUGUGUUCAGUGUGUUUGAGCAACAGUGAGGAGGAGGGGGUUUGUAGGGGAAGAGUGAUAGGAAAUAAGGUUGAAGAGGGUGGGGUGAGAGUAGAUCAUGCAGGCCUUAUAGGAUGUGAUAAAAAAGGAUGAGAAAGAAAGCUGGGAGGAAGGAUAAUUUGGAUUUAGGGUAAGGGACAGCGUUGCUCAUCUACAGGACCACAAGGGGUUCUGUGCUGCAGGGGCAUAAGAAGGAGCAUGUGCCAUGUGGGGAAUGCAGGGAAGCAGGGCAGAGGGACGUAGGAGAGGAAGAUUAAGAGCCAAGGGGGAGGGGCAGGCAGGCAGGUCCUUUUCCAUCUUUUCAGUCAGGGUUUCUCAAUCAUUUUAAUGAGAGCCUCAGCCCUUGCGUAAAAAUCAAGCAAUAAAGGGAGGAAUGCCUCUCUGUUUAACUUGAAGGAGAGCUACAGAAGAUGGAAAAGAGGGUUAGUUGAAAUAAAGUUGGAGCUGAUCUCGCUUGGCUGGCUGCCCUUUCUAUAAAUAUCGCCCUCCCAGUCCUGGAAAUGCAGCAGUUAGGGUCCUUGUGAGCUACUGAGGAACAUCCUUCCUGUUCAAAUGCCCAGGACUUGGCUGCCUGUGCACUUCCAUAUGCAAAGUGCCUAGAAGCUGGGGAGAGGGAGAGUGCAGGGUCAAAAGUGGGGAAUUCUGAGCCCACUCCUUUUACCCCCUGGGGGUGGCCUCACUUCCUCUGGGGGCUCUGACAGCUCUCUGGCCUGUCUUCAGCUUAGAAAUCUGCAAAAGUCAUUGGCCAGGCUCAGGAGAACUAAUCCUUUGUGCCAGAGGUAUGGUGGUAUGGUGGGGAGCUAGCUCCUCGCUGGUGCUGAGCCCUGCUGCCCCUGGGGUUUUACUGGGAGAGAGGGAGAGGGUGGAGGGGCUAGUGUAAUUCGGCAAUUUGUGAGUUAAAAAGCAGAUGAGAACCCACAGAGUAACGAGACAUUCUUCUCUUUGCAUGCAAGAUUCUGCUGAAUGUUGGAAGAGGAAGGAAUAUUUUUCUUGCUUUUCAGACAUGACAUCCUGUGAGGGGAAGAUUUGGAACAGAUGGGGGCCAGGGGAGCCUCACUGUAUUUGCUUGUUUCACCACCACCUCCUCCCUCCCACAACCAGAAAUGUCUUUUUCUUCCCGCCUAGGGAAGUUAAUGUAAAGGCAGGUAGGGGGGAUGUCCUGUAGAUUAGGAAAGUAAGUUAUCAGGGGUCAGGGAAAAAUAAUCCAUUAGGUUUCCAGAAAGAAUCCACUUUUCAUUGCAGUCUCCUUCUAGGUCCAAAGAUAGACAACUAACUCAAAAUUGUAUCUUCGCUUUAAUCACUGCUCUGGUGAUAUUUGCAUUAAUGAAAGAGAAAAGAAAGCAUCCCCAACAGAUGGAAAAGGCGGCUCUCUGACUAGUGAAAGGUAAGGAAUUUUUCUGAAAUCUUGGGUGCACAAUGUGGGAAAAACAAAAUUGGUAAUGUCUCAUGGGAUCAGCGCAGGCAUCUGCACAGUUUUCACUCCGACUUCUGUCUGUCAGAUUGACUGCAUUAGAGAAGACCGUAAAUGUGGUGAUGGAAGUGGGCUGUGACACACUUGACUGGCUGUAGCAGUGUUCCUGGUAGAGCCACAUUCCCAGCACAGCUGUGGGUAGCUGGGCAGCUAGUAUGAUGUUAGUCCCCAAAUCACAGCCGAUUCUUUCUGCUGUCAAAUAUACAGCCCCUGAGCCCCCUUCCCCUGAACCUGGAAGGGGGUUCUGCUGGUGAAGUCAGAUGGCCUUGUUAGCCAGGGUGGGCCAGUCUAACUGCCUGUUGCAUCUUGUCUGUUCCCCAAAGACAGCUUGGCUUGAUGUGAUGUGAAAAGGAUGGGGCAGAAGGAGAAGGGGACAGAUUCUGUGCUUUCCUUCUGUCGUUCUUUUUUGGCUGGUGGGAGCCUGUGUUGUUUUUCUCUUCCUUCGUAGGAGGGGAUUUUGAGUUCUGGGGUCUGGCUGAGGAGACACGUGCCAGAGUGUCUGGCCCUUUUGGGUCAGGCUGCCUGACUCUGGCACACAGUUCUGGAAGGAUGUCCUGGAGAGCUGGUUUACUGAGGCAACAGCUGCAAGCUAACUAGGGAAAGAGAAGAGGAAAGUACUAGGUUGCUGUGUGCUCAGGAUCCCCGGUUGAGAUAUGGAGAAUUAUGUCUGGGGAACAAAACCUAACAGGCUGUCCUCAUCACAUGAGAUAUGUUCCCAGGCUGGAGUGCAGUGGCGUGAUCUUGGCUCACUGCAGCCUCUACUUCCUGGGCUCAGGAGAUCCUCCCACCUCAGCCUCCCAAGUAACUGGGACUACAGGCACGUGGCACACCCCAUGCUUGGUUCUUUCUUUCCUUUCUUUUCCUUCUUUUCCUCCCUUCCCUCCCUUCCCUUUCCUUCCCUUUCUUUCCCUUUCCUUCCCUUUCCUUCUCUCCUUCCUUCCCUCCUUCCUUCCCUCCUUCCUUCCUUCCUUCCUUCCUUCCUUCCUUC
RNAcentral lists this long non-coding RNA (24910 nucleotides) under Homo sapiens (human). RNAcentral's name for it is "non-protein coding lnc-ARHGAP26-4:11". Lineage: Eukaryota; Metazoa; Chordata; Mammalia; Primates; Hominidae. The record is from RNAcentral.